RNAcentral lists this ribosomal RNA (495 nucleotides) under uncultured bacterium. RNAcentral's name for it is "partial 16S ribosomal RNA". It matches the Rfam family "Bacterial small subunit ribosomal RNA", at positions 28 to 507 of the family's 1533-position model. The record is from RNAcentral.
GACGAACGCUGGCGGCGUGCCUAAUACAUGCAAGUAGAACGCUGAAGGAGGAGCUUGCUCUUCUGGAUGAGUUGCGAACGGGUGAGUAACGCGUAGGUAACCUGCCUGGUAGCGGGGGAUAACUAUUGGAAACGAUAGCUAAUACCGCAUAACAGUAGAUGUUGCAUGACAUUUGCUUAAAAGGUGCAAUUGCACCACUACCAGAUGGACCUGCGUUGUAUUAGCUAGUUGGUGGGGUAACGGCUCACCAAGGCGACGAUACAUAGCCGACCUGAGAGGGUGAUCGGCCACACUGGGACUGAGACACGGCCCAGACUCCUACGGGAGGCAGCAGUAGGGAAUCUUCGGCAAUGGACGGAAGUCUGACCGAGCAACGCCGCGUGAGUGAAGAAGGUUUUCGGAUCGUAAAGCUCUGUUGUAAGAGAAGAACGAGUGUGAGAGUGGAAAGUUCACACUGUGACGGUAUCUUACCAGAAAGGGACGGCUAACUAUGUG